This 447-nucleotide long non-coding RNA is filed under the name Durio zibethinus. Its description in RNAcentral is "long non-coding RNA (DZIB_LNC000916)". Lineage: Eukaryota; Viridiplantae; Streptophyta; Magnoliopsida; Malvales; Malvaceae. The record is from RNAcentral.
UAUUAUUAAUCUUUUAAUCUUUCUCAAAUAUUUCAAAAAUAUUCAAAUUUCGAAGUUAGAAGUAAUCAAAUGAUAUCACCGAGUUACUAAUGGAAAAAAAAAAUAUUCUUUUUUUUUUUCAAAAUUAUGUAUCCUUUAACAGAUUAAUUACGAGUCUCAUUCGAAUUUGAUUGAAAAUGAAAAUUGGGCAUACUCUCUCUUCGAGCUUGACCAAUUACCAAUUAAUAGAAAAAAAUUCAAGUUUGUUUUUUAUUAGGUAAAUAAAAUGGUUUUUUUACAUUUUUUUGUUUUGAUGUAUUUUUCGUGUAUAAAUGGAGAUGUAUAAAUUAUAAAUGUAGGACGACAAAAAAAAUAGGCAGAGAUAGAGAAGGAAAGACUCUUUUUUACGUUUUUUUGAUUUCAUCAAUUCAAUUUAUAUAUCAUAAUAGAUCCUAAUCUAUCCUAUAU